GACGAACGCUGGCGGCGUGCCUAAUACAUGCAAGUAGAACGCAGUUGCGAACGGGUGAGUAACGCGUAGGUAAAUGCCUCAUAGCGGGGGAUAACUAUUGGAAACGAUAGCUAAUACCGCAUACUGUGAGAUGGACCUGCGUUGUAUUAGCUAGUUGGUGAGGUAAAGGCUCACCAAGGAGACGAUACAUAGCCGACCUGAGAGGUUGGACAGCCACCAGUGGAACGGGACACGGCCCCGACUCCUACGGGGGGGAACAGUUGGGGAUCUUCGGACAUGGACGGAAGUCUUACCGCGCAACGCCGCGGGAGUGAAGAAGGUUUUCGGGUUGUAAAGCUCUGUUGUUAGAGAAGCGUUAACUAACCAGAAAGGGACGGCUAACUACGUGCCAGCAGCCGCGGUAAUUC
RNAcentral lists this ribosomal RNA (407 nucleotides) under uncultured bacterium. RNAcentral's name for it is "partial 16S ribosomal RNA". It matches the Rfam family "Bacterial small subunit ribosomal RNA", at positions 28 to 526 of the family's 1533-position model. The record is from RNAcentral.